UUCACCUCCCGCUCUAUCUCACUUUCCCAAAAUUUUCUCUAAACCCUAAGACCCAAUUAUGUCUACGUCACUCUCAAAUGUCAAAAAAUUUCUCAAUUUCAUCCCCAAAGUCUUUGUUCCCUAAAUCUUCUCACUCUCAAUAGCUCACCCCCAAAACCUAACCUUUCAAUCGGAGCUCAAUCAUGGUCAACUCACUCAAUCGGUGCUCAACUCACUCACCCAAUUGGUGUUAUGUCUGAAUCGGUGCUCAACUCAAAACCUCUUCAACAACAUAGCCUCUUCAACAACACAACUAUCCUCUCUCUUUCUCUGGAGCAUUUAAUGUACUUUUCUUGCUCAGUUAUUGUCUUUGAGAUUCUUACCAACGAGUUUUGAAGCUGCUUCGGAAUAUUCAGUUCCUAUCUUUUUGAUUCACAACAAGUCUGAUUUGUUACGUGCAUAUUGUGUCGCUUUGCCAUCUGCUCUGUUUGUGCAUACUUCCUUUUGUGUCGCUCUCUGUUCUGCGCGCUAUUGGUUUUUUUAACUCUGGUGCUGUUUAUAAACAAGAGAUGGUAGACAUUCAUCGAAGUCUAGCUACCGCCUCGAGGAUCAUUGAAGCAACAUCAUUAGGGAAUAUUUAGAUAUUUUAUGGCUUAUAAUUUUGCUACAGUUGUUUUGAAUGUUCAGUCAUUAGUGUUUCGAUUUUUUGAAUGUUUAAAUUUGGUGCUAUAUCUUUUGUUUUAGUUAAGUUGAUGUAUGGAUCAAACUUCUUACUCUUGAAUUAUGUAUAUUUUUGCAUUUCAAGUCUUUAGUAAUAUAUUUA
Molecule: long non-coding RNA, 802 nt
Organism: Medicago truncatula (barrel medic)
Lineage: Eukaryota; Viridiplantae; Streptophyta; Magnoliopsida; Fabales; Fabaceae
Exons: 4
Source: RefSeq, a predicted model, not a curated record